UGUCACCAUGGAAGCCUCAUUUAGUUUGCAUCUCACUGAACUUGGGCUUCAUUGCUGCAGCAUGUUGUAGUGAAGUGCAAGGUGGUAACACAACAAGAGAGUGAAAGCCUGGAUGAAGCUUUCGGAGGACACUUGCUAACUUCAUUGCACAGGAGGCCUGUGGAAAUCCUGCAGCUGAGAGAUCUGCAGCUGGACCCAUCAUACUUCACCGUCGGGGCUAUUGAAUUUAAUUAAAGAAAAAUGACCCAGAGACUCUUAGGAAAACUUGAUUCUCUGGAACAAUAUUCACGCAAAAGACUGGCCAAACAUGCAAAGGUUGAAAGCCCAGGGCUUGGGAAAUUGCAGUUAAAGCCAUUUGUGACAACCCCAUUGACAUUUGAAUUUAAAGAAGAUUAUGAUCUACCCAGUGCUAGAACAAUAAAUAUUUCCAGGUCUAAACCUGCACUGCAGUUUUCAGAAGAUGAACAGCUCUUCCGACAUCAGCAAAUAAGUCCUAGCAGGCUUACAUCUGUGACCCCAAGACUGAUGGCUAGAAAGAGUCACUCUGGCAAACCAACUGCAAGGCCAUUUAGUGCUCCAGAUACCUUGCAAGCUAAAGCAUGUCAUCAGAAAGGUUGA
This 618-nucleotide long non-coding RNA is filed under the name Chrysemys picta bellii (western painted turtle). RNAcentral's name for it is "lncRNA (ENSCPBG00000001398.1)". The record is from RNAcentral. Lineage: Eukaryota; Metazoa; Chordata; Testudines; Emydidae.